CAUGAACUGGUGGGGUCCCUCGGCCUAGCCUGUGCCUUCUUGCAAUCUGGGACCCUUUGGGGGAUGUCAGACUGCCGGUAUCAGCCCGAUCCCCACAGGCCAGGCUGAGGGACCCCACCAGUGCACG
This 127-nucleotide microRNA precursor is filed under the name Myotis davidii. RNAcentral describes it as "mir-9193 microRNA precursor family". It matches the Rfam family "mir-9193 microRNA precursor family". The record is from Rfam by way of RNAcentral. Lineage: Eukaryota; Metazoa; Chordata; Mammalia; Chiroptera; Vespertilionidae.